Molecule: long non-coding RNA, 1343 nt
Organism: Oncorhynchus tshawytscha (Chinook salmon)
Lineage: Eukaryota; Metazoa; Chordata; Actinopteri; Salmoniformes; Salmonidae
Exons: 3
Source: RefSeq, a predicted model, not a curated record
GAAGAUGUGGUAGGAGUGUUGACACAAGUAUAGAAAUGGAGAGAGAGAGAGAUGCAGAAGGAGGAAGGUACAUAGUUUGUUCGAAUGUACCAGUGCAAAGAGAGAAAGAGAGUAGAGAUCAAUUGUUGAAUACAUAGCAUUACAGUAUAUCAGGAACUACAUCUCGAGACAGUUGGACCAACCAGACAUUACUGAGUCUCUCACUCUCACUGUGUACGAGAGAAGCUGAGCCUCAGAAUCUACAAGAUGAGGAACCUACUGAUAAUCACCAUCCUCUCCUUCAUGACAGGUUGUAAGCUGCCUUGAAGUGGAAGGAUACUCAGGAGGAACUGCCAUCUUCAACUGUAAAUACCCAGAUGCAUAUAAAAGCAACCAGAAAUGUUUCUGGAAGAAGUCCAGCCAGAGUUGUGAAGAGAAAAUUAGCAGUGAGACAAAGAACCCCUGGGAGAACAAGGACAUAUUCUCUCUGAAAGACACUGACAGUAAACUCUUCACGGUGGUCAUCGAAAAACUGGAUUAUAGAGAUGAAGGAUGCUACUACUAUGAUGCGGACACACCAGACACGUCGUCAACUUGCUGUAGGACUAAGGUGGAGCUGGAAGUAAAGGAAGGUUAGAGACUUUCACUUUAAUUUAACUAAAUUAUUAAUUCCCUGUGUGAUGAGAAUAACGAGUCACGGCGGUCAGUCAACUAAGGGUGAAAGGAAAGACUGAGGUUAUUAAUAAAGGCUGAGGUUUUUUCCAUUGACAGAUAACUGCUGUAGGAGAUCAUUCACAGAGAUUGCUUAUCUGGGAGGAACCGCUACCAUCAGCUGCAAGUAUCCAAAUGACCAUAAGGACAGAGUCAAGUAUUUCUGCAAAAAAAGAUGGUCACUUCAUCUGUAAAUGUAAUAUAGAUUUACAAUCUAGAAAAGAAUCGAACGAACAAGGUCCAUUUUUUUGUGUCUGACAAGACAAGGGAAGAGAGAGAGUCUUCACUAUGACCAUCACCAAUCUGACUGGGGAGGAUACAGGGAUAUUCUGUUGUGGCGGGAAAACUACUGCCUACAUUGACUAGAUCACUGAAGUACAAUUUAAAGAUAUUAAUGCGUCACCCAAGACCACCGCAGUGACCACCACCGGAGUGACCACCACCGCAGUGACCACCACACUGAACACCAUGUCUCCUGCAUCUUCAUCCAUAUGACCAUCAACACUAAGACAAUGUACCUUUGAUAAGUAAAUGUGGUUCUAGGGAAGGUAGCUUAGCAGUUAAGAGCUUUGUUUCGGUUGCUGGUUCAAAUCCCCAAGCCGACCACAUGAAAAAUCUGCUGAUGUGCCCUUGAGCAUGGCACUUAACCCUAA